This 93-nucleotide ribosomal RNA is filed under the name uncultured bacterium. Its description in RNAcentral is "partial 16S ribosomal RNA". It matches the Rfam family "Bacterial small subunit ribosomal RNA", at positions 1390 to 1482 of the family's 1533-position model. The record is from RNAcentral.
CCGCCCGUCACAUCAUGAAAGCCGGUUGUACCCGAAGUCCGCAAGCUAACUGCAAAGAAGCAGCGGCCGAAGGUGUGGCUGGUGAUUGGGAUG